Molecule: long non-coding RNA, 474 nt
Filed under: Hordeum vulgare
Lineage: Eukaryota; Viridiplantae; Streptophyta; Magnoliopsida; Poales; Poaceae
Description: long non-coding RNA (HVUL_LNC019561)
Source: RNAcentral
CUUGCCCCUAUCUGCUACAAAUCGCCAUGGUGGCCUCCCCAACAACUCGCCAUCGGAUCCAAGCAUGCUCGAUCUGGAGCGCCUCCCGUGAUCUCCCUCGUGCCCGAGCCCGCCUGGAUCCACAACCUCGUCAAUGGAGCCCCUCCAAUUGUGCCCCGUUCUAGCCGCUGUCGGCCAUGGAAGGAGCCGCACCGCCUCAUACCGAGAUGGGAUGCUCUCCAUCACCAUCAUGCAUUGCGUCGCGGUCGUCUGCACUUCAUUGCCCCCAUGGACAGCGUAGUCAUGAACGCCAUCAACACCAGCCUAGACGCCGCCGGCGUUGCCACCACUGAAGCAGCAAAAGGCCAUUGGAGAUACAAAAGAAAGCUAGACAGAGGAAGAAAUAGCUAACAUGUGGGUCCCACAUGUCAAUUACUCCCUCCAUUUCAAAAUAUAAGACCUUUUAGAGAUUACACUAGAAGACUAUAUAUGGAG